Molecule: transfer RNA, 72 nt
Filed under: Camelus bactrianus (Bactrian camel)
Lineage: Eukaryota; Metazoa; Chordata; Mammalia; Artiodactyla; Camelidae
Also listed under: 1 other name
Rfam family: tRNA
About the family: Transfer RNA (tRNA) molecules are approximately 80 nucleotides in length.
Source: Rfam by way of RNAcentral
AGAGGUAGAGCUCAUUGGUAGAGGGUAUGCCUAGCACACAUGAGGUCCUGGGUUCAAUUCCCACUCCUUCCA